AGUCGAACGGUGAUAGCAAUAUCAUAGUGGCGCACGGGUGCGUAACACGUAUGCAACCUACCUAUUAUUGGGGGAUAGCCUUUGGAAACGGAGAUUAAUACCGCAUAAUACGAUUGACUGGCAUCGGUUGAUUGUUAAAGCUUCGGCGAUAAUAGAUGGGCAUGCGCCCAAUUAGUUAGUUGGUUAGGUAACGGCUGACCAAGACGAUGAUUGGUAGGGGAUCUGAGAGGAUAAUCCCCCACACUGGCACUGAGAUACGGGCCAGACUCCUACGGGAGGCAGCAGUAGGGAAUAUUGGGCAAUGGGCGGAAGCCUGACCCAGCCAUGCCGCGUGCAGGAAGAAGGCGUUAUGCGUUGUAAACUGCUUUUUUAUAGGAAGAAGGAUCCCUUGCGAGGGAAGGUGACGGUACUAUAAGAAUAAGCACCGGCUAACUCCGUGCCAGCAGCCGCGGUAAUACGGAGGGUGCAAGCGUUGUCCGGAUUUAUUGGGUUUAAAGGGUGCGUAGGCGGUUUAUUAAGUCAGUGGUGAAAGACGGUCGCUCAACGAUUGCGGUGCCAUUGAUACUGGUAGACUUGAGUGAGAUUGAGGUAGCUGGAAUGGAUAGUGUAGCGGUGAAAUGCAUAGAUAUUAUCCAGAACACCGAUUGCGAAGGCAGGUUACUAAGUCUUAACUGACGCUGAGGCACGAAAGUGUGGGGAUCAAACAGGAUUAGAAUACCCUGGUAGUCCACACUGUAAACGA
Molecule: ribosomal RNA, 742 nt
Filed under: uncultured bacterium
Lineage: Bacteria
Description: bacterial SSU rRNA
Rfam family: Bacterial small subunit ribosomal RNA
Source: RNAcentral